AGCAUAUCAGAUUCUCAUAAACAAACAUAAAAUAAUGAAAUUUCAAUAAACUGUGAACCAUAAAGGUGGCCAGAAAAGAACAAGCUUCUUAUUAUAGCCGCUAAAGAAAAGGUUUGAUAAGUCAAAUACAGAUCCAUAUUGUUUCACCACAGAAAUCUGUAUUUCAAGUCUCAAUGACCUUUUCCCGAUAAAUGUUUUAUUAUAGUUAAUACGGGAAAGGUUACCUUACACAAAAAAAUCAGCAACAUCCAUCAUUCCAGGAAAAUAGAAAAUAACUAACAUAUAUUCAAACUGACAUUAUAGCACUUGAUCUAAUCACUCAUAAUGAUAAAGAUU
Molecule: unclassified non-coding RNA, 336 nt
Filed under: Hevea brasiliensis (rubber tree)
Lineage: Eukaryota; Viridiplantae; Streptophyta; Magnoliopsida; Malpighiales; Euphorbiaceae
Source: RNAcentral